Molecule: ribosomal RNA, 467 nt
Filed under: uncultured bacterium
Lineage: Bacteria
Description: partial 16S ribosomal RNA
Rfam family: Bacterial small subunit ribosomal RNA
Source: RNAcentral
GAUGAACGCUGGCGGCGCGCCUAACACAUGCAAGUCGAACGAUUAAAGCACCUUCGGGCGUGUAUAAAGUGGCGAACGGCUGAGUAACACGUGCGCAACCUGCCCCUUUCAUUGGGAUAGCCACCGUCAACCGUGGGUAAUACCGAACACUUUGUGUCUUCCGCCUCGAAGACUCGAGAAAGCUCCGGCGGAGGGGGAUGGGCCCGCGGCCUGUGAGCUUGUUGGAGGGGUAACGGCCUACCACGGCAAUGCUGGGUAGCUGGGUUGAGAGACCGGCCAGCCAGCUUGGGACUGAGACACGGCCCAGACUCCUACGGGAGGCAGCAGUGGGGAAUCUUGCACAAUGGGCGAAAGCCUGAUGCAGCGACGCCGCGUGCGGGAUGAAGGCCUUCGGGUUGUAAACCGCUUUCAGCAGGGACGAGGCGAAAGUGACGGUACCUGCAGAAGAAGCCCCGGCUAACUACGUG